Molecule: long non-coding RNA, 379 nt
Organism: Mus musculus (house mouse)
Lineage: Eukaryota; Metazoa; Chordata; Mammalia; Rodentia; Muridae
Product: predicted gene, 34995
Exons: 3
Source: RefSeq, a predicted model, not a curated record
AGUAUGAACACCGCACGUCCUAAGAUCGUUUUCAAACAUGGACAAUGUAGCACUUUCUUCAAAGGAAAUUAUUUGCCUCCCCAAACGAUGCAGUAGCCAUCUCAUUAAGCGUUUGUGCAAUAAGACACAAUCCAACAGGAAGGAGAUGGUAGAAGAGUCUCACUAAGGAACAUGGAGCAGUGAGUGCCUGGCUGAGAAAGACGUCUCCUCUCCACAUUGAGAGCAUCAAGGACUCCAGCGAUUUCCUCUGCCCUUAGAAGAGAGGAAGUAUGGACGUCUGUUUCUGCUAAGGAGACCUUCGUCAAUGAUGAAGUCUGCCCCUCUGAUCAGCUGAUGUCUUUAUUUCUGGAAUGUUCUUCUGAACUCUACAUUAAAUAUU